UGGCUGUCGUCAGCUCGUGUCGUGAGAUGUUGGGUUAAGGUACCCGUAACGAGCGCAACCCUGUCCUUAGUUACCAGCACGUUAUGGUGGGCACUCUAAGGAGACUGCCAGUGACAAACCGGACGGAAGGUGGGGAGUGACGUCAAGUCAUCAUGGCCCUUACGGCCUGGGCUACACACGUGCUACAAUGGUCGGUACAAAGGGUUGCCAAGCCGCGAGGUGGAGCUAAUCCCAUAAAACCGAUCGUAGUCCGGAUCGCAGUCUGCAACUCGACUGCGUGAAGUCGGAAUCGCUAGUAAUCGUGAAUCAGAAUGUCACGGUGAAUACGUUCCCGGGCCUU
This 340-nucleotide ribosomal RNA is filed under the name uncultured Pseudomonas sp. RNAcentral describes it as "bacterial SSU rRNA". It matches the Rfam family "Bacterial small subunit ribosomal RNA", at positions 1046 to 1382 of the family's 1533-position model. Lineage: Bacteria; Pseudomonadati; Pseudomonadota; Gammaproteobacteria; Pseudomonadales; Pseudomonadaceae. The record is from RNAcentral.